RNAcentral lists this ribosomal RNA (253 nucleotides) under uncultured bacterium. Its description in RNAcentral is "partial 16S ribosomal RNA". It matches the Rfam family "Bacterial small subunit ribosomal RNA", at positions 524 to 776 of the family's 1533-position model. The record is from RNAcentral.
GACAGAGGGUGCAAACGUUGUUCGGAAUUACUGGGCGUAAAGCGUGUGUAGGCGGCUACGCAAGUCGGAUGUGAAAGCCCCAGGCUUAACCUGGGAAGUGCACCCGAAACUGCGCAGCUUGAGUAUCGGAGAGGUUGGUGGAAUUCUCGGUGUAGAGGUGAAAUUCGUAGAUAUCGAGAGGAACACCGGUGGCGAAGGCGGCCAACUGGACGAAUACUGACGCUGAGACACGAAAGCGUGGGGAGCAAACAGG